RNAcentral lists this long non-coding RNA (1799 nucleotides) under Olea europaea (common olive). Its description in RNAcentral is "long non-coding RNA (OEUR_LNC012795)". Lineage: Eukaryota; Viridiplantae; Streptophyta; Magnoliopsida; Lamiales; Oleaceae. The record is from RNAcentral.
CAACGUCAACUAAGUCAUUCAAUUUUCAUUACAUUCUUUUACUAUGUACCAUCUCCCUAUUUUACAUGCUAUCACUUUACUGUCUACUCCACAUAUAUCUGAGAUUUACAUAACAACAUGUUAUCAAGUCAUAGAUAUCAAUCAUCACAAUCACAAAAUCCUUACAGUUUUCAAAAGUUUCAAUCCCCUCAUCCUUAUCAACAACUGCACAAAUACGAGUAUAAUGGGUACGUCCAUAAGUAACAUGUAUAGCUGAUAAUAAGUCCUCGAUAAUCUAGGCAUGUCUGGUUGUCCAAAUGAUUUUAGUUUCUUGCGGAGCCAUCUACAGUACAAAAUAUAAAACUUGAACAAUAAAAGUUCAGUAAAUAUGAUGAUGCAAUGAUGUAUAUCAAGCAUAUUGGGCCCGAAUCCUUAUUAUAGUAUACCCUAUGAGCUCAAAAUAACAUGGUUAUUACUUGUGCGCAAAUCAAUGUCAGUGCAUCCGUCAUUGCCCACCAAGACUCAAGAUGUCACAUCAAUAUAUAACAUAUAUAAAGCAAGGCUUGACCUAAGUAUACAGUGCUCGAUGUGCCUAUCUGCAAUCCCUAGGCCACCAAGGGACCACCUGGCAUUGCCUAUAUACAGGUGUCGAACUCUAAAUACCCUAUCCUUGGCUAUAUUUAAUGAUCAUCAAGAGCCUCGAAGUAGUAUAUUUAUUUGGACACAAUAGUACCGUACAUCUAUAAUGUAAGUCACAUUCAAAAUUUUUAAACAAACUCAAUACAAAUGACAACAAAAGUAUGCGUGACUGUAAGAACGUAAUUAUCCAUAAGUUUUCCAAAUAAACUUAAUGCACUCGUGUCACACUUCCAUGUCACAUAGUAAAAAAAACAAACAAACAAACAAACAAACAAACACAUAAUUUCACAUAUUAAUGUAUCUUGUAUUGUAGUUGAAAAACAUCAAUAUUUACCUUUAUUACGACUUUCUUGAUCAAUAUCGCAUUAAUAAAAUAAUCUCUACAUUAAUCAUAUUAUAACAUCUUAUCUCUCAAUUAACAAGUCUAAACUAGGUAUUUAAGAUAAUAGAAUAUUCUUAAUAAAGGACCCGAGUAAUAACACUAAUAAUAAUACUACUUUUACCACUACUACUAAUAAUAAUUAUAAAUAUAAACGGAGUUCCCAUUACUUGUUAUAUAAAAAUUUAUAUUGCCAUUUAAUUCCUUAUCCAUCAAUGUUAGGUCAACUUCAAAAUAUCAUAAAACAAUUCCUAUGGCUUCCACAUAUGGGAAAAUCUCUCUCUCUCUCUCUCUCUCUCUCUCUCUCUCUCUCUCUCUCUCUCUCUCUCUCUCUCUCUCACAAUAAUCCUAAGCAUAAAAGAAAUCCAUUGCUAUUUAAGCAGCAGUUGUCGUACUAAAAACAAGUGCAGAGAUGAUCAACAUGAUUCUCCAUUAAUUACUCAAAAUCCAACAAAAAUCUUCUUUUACAAAAUCCUUCCAGGAAUCAAAGAUAGGAUUUCUUUUACUUAUUCAUAAAUCUCUUUUUAUCUUGACCAAGUUUCCCCCCAAACAAUCUUCUAUAUAAUCUUUAAUAGUACCAUUUAAAUAAAAUAAAACUCAUUAUAAUUCAUCAUUGUUGAUUUCAUUAAUCUUAAAUUUAACUCUCAUUUUAUCUUCCUCAAAAUUAUUAAAAAUAAAUAAAUAAAUAAUAUCAGAAAUUAAGAAUUUUAACUCAUAUAAAUAAACCAAUUAAAUACAUAAAUAAUUAAUUAACUAAACAAAAGAAGAAGGAAAGAACUUACCCCGAAAGGGAAAGGCGUGU